CAAAAAAAAGAAAAGGUGGAAAUUUUAAGAAGAAUGGGGAACCGAAAAGAAGAGAAAAAGGAAAAGCAAAAAUGGGGAAAGAGGAGGUCGGAGAUGGUGGAGGAGGAAGAAAGAGUGAAGAAUAGAGAGUUAGCUGAAAUCAUGUCUUGCUUGAUAAUGGAUCACCAGAAAAUGGAAGAAAAAAAAGAGAGAGAAGAGACAGAAAUGAAUUAUGAGUGAUGGAUUACAAGGAUAAUAACUUCUCUGCCAAUAAGGUUUGCAGGUUCAGGAUAGACCGGGAAGUCGUCAAGGUUGAAGGUUGUGUUAAGUGUAAUAGAUUAGUAGUGGACAUAUAAUGUAAAAUGGUAUGAUGUAAUAUAAUGUAGAGAAAUAUUUCAUGGUUUAGUAUUGUGCUUGGCCCUAAUAGUAAUGGUUAAUCCCUUUUUGUACA
Manihot esculenta (cassava) is the source of this 430-nucleotide long non-coding RNA. RefSeq lists it as uncharacterized. NCBI's taxonomy places the organism in Eukaryota, Viridiplantae, Streptophyta, Magnoliopsida, Malpighiales, Euphorbiaceae. The transcript is spliced from 2 exons. The record is from RefSeq and is a predicted model, not a curated record.